Molecule: unclassified non-coding RNA, 2715 nt
Filed under: Ooceraea biroi (clonal raider ant)
Lineage: Eukaryota; Metazoa; Arthropoda; Insecta; Hymenoptera; Formicidae
Description: rho GTPase-activating protein 26, transcript variant X2
Source: RNAcentral
CCAACUUCACGCUGAACCGAGUUUUCUAAACGCGUAUGAAAUUUGCUUUACCCACGCCCAUGUGAGCGUGCUUUUACGCUUGAUUCAUCUUCUUCUCUUUCUUCUUAUAUCCCUCCUUGUCCUCGACGUAACGUUUCUCCGUGCGGAGUCUGUUUUAUCAUAUCGCGAUCGCGAAUUAGGAGACUUUAUGACAGGUACACAUGUCGCUUCCGAUUUUCAUCCGCCUUCAACUCCAGAGAUGAACCUAGCAACGCGAAUUUUACGGUGUUAUUGCCAAAUCAUCUCGAUCGAGCUCCCAUCGAGCUGAGCUAUCGAACUGGGAGACCCGUGUCGAGUGUGUAGUGUGUACGUGAAGACGGUAAACUGCCAAGGGUGUUUAGACACAUUGCAUCCCGAUGAUGGCGAGUGUGCGCGAAUCUGCACGAAUAAUACCGCAGUGACAUGAUAGUGAUCGCGCGCUUCAUCGCGGUCCAACGAGGUUGACAGACUAGAUUACUCGCGGAUUACUCGCGCGCGUGUACGUGUUCACAUGACUCCCGCGUCUGCCUAAGAAACGCACGAGAAUGGGUGUUGGCCUAAAACCGCUCGAGUUUACGGAUUGCCUGACCGACAGCCCGUACUUCCGCGAGAAUCUCCACUAUCACGAGCGUGAAUUGGAAAAGACCAGCCAGCAGAUCAAGCGGCUCGUUAAAGAGGUCAAGGAUUUGUUGCUGGCCGCAAAAAAUUUGUCCAGGGCGCAGAGAGCCUUUUCCAAGACGUUGCAGAAUUUUAGCUUCGAAUGCAUCGGUGAGAGUCAAACCGAAGACGAGACUCAUAUAUCUCAAAGCUUGAAGGAAUUUGGCAAGCUUAUUGCGUCUAUAGAGGAUGAAAGAGAUCGUAUGUUGGAACGAGCGUAUGAUCAGAUCAUACUGCCUUUGGAAAAUUUUAGGAAGGAACAUAUUGGAGGAGUUAAGGAUGGCAAGAAGAAAUUCGAGAAGCAGACGAUCAAGUUUUGCCAAAGUCAGGAGCGUUACCUGAAUUUAUCUACUAAAAAACAAGAUAACGUUCUGCAAGAGGCUGACGCGACGCUGGAGAUGGCUGAACGACACUUCUCUCAAGCUAGCUUAGAAUACGUGUUUUUACUGCAAGAGGUUCAGGAACGGAAAAAAUUCGAAUUCGUGGAGACGUUGUUGGGAUUUAUGUUCGGCUGGUUGACGUUCUAUCAUCAAGGCCAUGAAGUUGCAAAAGAUUUUAAACCUUACAUGACAGAGCUGCAAUUAAAGAUUCAGAAGACUAGAGAGAAUUUCCUUGCUACCCGGGAUAAAACCGAGUCACUUAUGAAUAAAAUGAAGGACAUGAAGAAGUCUGCGGUAGAAAGUGGUCUCAACAAACUGCAUUCGCGCGAAGGGUAUCUAUUCUUAAUGGAGAAGAAAGCGUUUGGCACAACAUGGACGAAGCAGUACUGCACAUAUCAAAAGGACAAAAAGGAGUUCACUAUGAUCCCUUACAAUCAGCUCACGGGGAAAUUUAGCAGCAAGGAAACCUUCACGCUUGCCACCUGCAUACGACGAACAUCGGACAGCAUUGAAAAGAGAUUUUGCUUCGACGUCACAGCUGUCGAUAAGUCUUUCCAUCGUUUUUCCAGACCUAACGUAACGUACACAUUCCAAGCGCUUUCCGAGGAGGAUCGAAAGUUGUGGAUGGACGCCAUGGACGGGAAGGAACCUAUCUGUCGAUUGGGCUCUUCCGCGAAGUCUGAAGACGCAACGUUGGAUGAGACCGGUUUUACAUUUGUGACCAAGUGCAUCGUCGCGCUCGAAGAUAGAGGACUCGAAGAGCAGGGCCUGUACAGAGUGGUCGGCGUCGCAUCGAAGGUGAACAAACUUCUGACGAUGGGACUCGACAAGCGAAAAAUGGACAAGCUCAAUCUGAACGACCGCUUCGAGUGGGAGAGUAAAACCAUUACCAGCGCGCUCAAGACUUACCUGAGAACGUUGCCGUUAAUGACUUACCGAUAUUACACCAGCUUCAUUACAGCUGCGAAACAGGAGACGAAGGAAGCUCGGAUAAACAGUAUACAUAGCCUCGUUUAUCGAUUGCCUAAGGCCAAUUUUAACAUCCUGAUGCGUCUUAUUACUCAUCUGUGCGGUGUGGCAAAGAAAAGUGACAAGAACCUGAUGACUGUGGGGAACCUGGCGGUGUGCUUCGGUCCGACUCUGUUGCGACCCGAGGAGGAAACGGUGGCUUCCAUAAUGGACAUCAAGUUCUACAACAUCGUCGUAGAGAUACUGAUCGAGAACUGCGAGAGAAUAACCGCCGGGCCGCCUCAGGAUUCUCUGCGCGCAGCAGCCGCGCAAUCGUCGUCGUCGUCGCAAGCUGCCGUCGUCGCGAGCAAAUCGCAGUGCGUUAAAACGGAGGAAGUCCCGACCUCCUCCUCGGGUAACGGCACGGCAUAUCUCAGAUAUCCCACGCACACGGCGGUGACGGUAACGCCCACGUCGUCACACACACAUUCCUUAGCGGUGGCAAUACGAGCAGUUCCAGCGAAUCGAUCGCGUCGGAUCCUCAUCCGUUCACGAGCGAGCUACCGGUGAAACAGAAACGCGGCACCAUGAUGUCCGUGCACUACGCCACGGCUUACCCGCAACGCAGCAACUCGUCGUCGAUAUGCCCCGUCAACACGUCGCCCAGUAGCGGACGAUCGAGUCCCGGUCAGGUGCCAGGAAUCUGGUAAGU